CCUACGGGGGGCUGCAGUGAGGAAUAUUGGUCAAUGGACGAGAGUCUGAACCAGCCAAGUAGCGUGAAGGAUGACUGCCCUAUGGGUUGUAAACUUCUUUUAUAUGGGAAUAAAAUGUUCCACGUGUGGGAUUUUGUAUGUACCAUAUGAAUAAGGAUCGGCUAACUCCGUGCCAGCAGCCGCGGUAAUACGGAGGAUCCGAGCGUUAUCCGGAUUUAUUGGGUUUAAAGGGAGCGUAGGUGGAUUGUUAAGUCAGUUGUGAAAGUUUGCGGCGCAACCGUAAAAUUGCAGUUGAAACUGGCAGUCUUGAGUACAGUAGAGGUGGGCGGAAUUCGUGGUGUAGCGGUGAAAUGCUUAGAUAUCACGAAGAACUCCGAUUGCGAAGGCAGUUCACUGGACUGCAACUGACACUGAGGCUCGAAAGUGUGGGUAUCAAACAGGAUUAGAUACCCUUGUAGUC
This 460-nucleotide ribosomal RNA is filed under the name uncultured bacterium. RNAcentral's name for it is "partial 16S ribosomal RNA". It matches the Rfam family "Bacterial small subunit ribosomal RNA", at positions 338 to 795 of the family's 1533-position model. The record is from RNAcentral.